This 129-nucleotide small RNA is filed under the name Enterobacter bugandensis. Its description in RNAcentral is "RtT sRNA". It matches the Rfam family "RtT RNA". Rfam says of the family: This family represents a bacterial cis-regulatory element known as RtT RNA. RNAcentral also lists the same sequence under 1 other name. The record is from RNAcentral. Lineage: Bacteria; Pseudomonadati; Pseudomonadota; Gammaproteobacteria; Enterobacterales; Enterobacteriaceae.
UUUUUGCUAUCUGCGAUUUGGAUGAUUCGAACCUGCAGCAGGUUCGAGCCGAACGUAGUGAGGCACCGGAGCCGUUUACGGCGACGGCCCGAAGGGCGAGCGAAGCGAGUCAUCCUGCACGACCCACCA